Molecule: long non-coding RNA, 794 nt
Filed under: Homo sapiens (human)
Lineage: Eukaryota; Metazoa; Chordata; Mammalia; Primates; Hominidae
Description: non-protein coding NRSN2-AS1:4
Source: RNAcentral
CGGAGACCACUGUUCAAGGCCACAGAUGGAAUCACUCAGUCCUGCUGCUACUGGAGAGGGAAGGUGACCUUGACGCUGCCUCCCGCUCGGCCUGGCCCCUCCGCCUGGCGUUUCAGGGCUGCACGGAGUAGGUCUGGCGGGCGGGGGGCGGGGCGCAGGCACCCGGGACGAGGGUUGCCAUGGGAACCGCUAGGGAGGCGUCCCCAGCCCGGGAGCCGGGAGGAGCUCGGUGGGAGGGGAGCGGGAGGCGGAGGGGGCUGCGCUGUCCGACGUGGGGAGACUGCGGCGGAGGGAGGAGGCGAGGGGCGGCAGGCACGGGCGGAAGUGACGGAAGCCAGGGCCCGAAGAUGGACGGAAUCUGUCGCCUCUGCACAGCCUCAUUCAGUUGUGUCCUUCCCAGACCCUCAGACUCGCCCACUACAGCGUCCAGCGCUGCCCGGGCGGGGGAGAAGGGGCGCCCUCCCGGGGGGGAUGGGUAGGGGGUGUCGGCCGGGGAAAUCAGGCCAUUUCCCGCCUCCCUUCCCCACCGGCACCCGCGCCACUCUUCCUGACAGGACCACCGAUGCCCUGCUCCACACCAACUGCGUCCUUUUCCCUAGAGAGAAACUGAGGCAGAGAGGGGUAGGAAUGGGUUUUUGAAGUGUUGGCGGGGGUGGGGGUGUCCUUUGAAGCCUCUACCCAGCCUAUCAACCCUGAGGCGUCGAGGGGCGAUGGGGCUGUUUCUGUCUCCCGCCCCUGCUGCUUCCCUGGGACCCCCACCUCCCAAAGCCGAGGCUCAGGCGCAAAGGUCCCGG